AGCGAACGCUGGCGGCAGGCUUAACACAUGCAAGUCGAACGCAUCCUUCGUGCUGAGUGGCAGUCGGGGGAGUAACACGUGGGAACGUACCCUUCGAUCUGCGAUCCCUUCGUGAAACUGGACCUCAUAACGGUUACGCUCUUUUGGGGUAGGGUUUACUGUGGCAGGGUCGGCCCUCGUCUGUUUCGCGAGUUGGUGGGGUAACGGCAUGCCAUGGCGAGGAUGAGUAGCUGGUCUGAGAGGAUGAUCAGCCACACUGGGGAUGAGACACAGCCCAGACUCGUACGGGAGGGAGCAGUGGGGAAUAUUGGGGACGGGGGGCAAGCCUGAUCCAGCCAUGCCGGGUAAGUGAUGAAGGCGGUAGUGUUGUAAAGCUCUUUUGUCCGAGACGUUAAUGACGGUACCGGAUGAAUAAGCCCCGGCUAACUUCGUG
RNAcentral lists this ribosomal RNA (433 nucleotides) under uncultured bacterium. Its description in RNAcentral is "partial 16S ribosomal RNA". It matches the Rfam family "Bacterial small subunit ribosomal RNA", at positions 29 to 507 of the family's 1533-position model. The record is from RNAcentral.